CUAGUGAACUUAAUUAUAGUUGAACUUAAAGCUAAUGUGAUUAGUCACUACUAGGUUUAUCUUAUAUCUACACACUAAAUUAGGUAACCUAAACCUAUCAUUGAACACCAUACACUCUACUCCGUGAAACCCGUAGCCACUGGUAUCGGGCUUACAACUAAACACUUCGACGGCAUCACGCUAGACAACACCCGAAAUUAUACUAAAAGGAAACUAAACGUAAGUCACAAAAUUAUAAUCUACACUUACAACUAGGACUAAAAUUAGGUUGAGAACAUAAUGAUAAACAAUGUCAUGUACACUCUACCUACAUUCCAACC
Molecule: long non-coding RNA, 320 nt
Organism: Ochlerotatus camptorhynchus
Lineage: Eukaryota; Metazoa; Arthropoda; Insecta; Diptera; Culicidae
Exons: 3
Source: RefSeq, a predicted model, not a curated record